This 447-nucleotide ribosomal RNA is filed under the name uncultured bacterium. RNAcentral's name for it is "bacterial SSU rRNA". It matches the Rfam family "Bacterial small subunit ribosomal RNA", at positions 355 to 825 of the family's 1533-position model. The record is from RNAcentral.
UUGGGAAUAUUGCGCAAUGGACGAAAGCCUGACCCAGCAACGCCGCGUGAAGGAUGAAGUAUUUCGGUAUGUAAACUUCGAAAGAAUAGGAAGAAUAAAUGACGGUACUAUUUAUAAGGUCCGGCUAACUACGUGCCAGCAGCCGCGGUAAUACGUAGGGACCAAGCGUUGUUCGGAUUUACUGGGCGUAAAGGGCGCGUAGGCGGUCGAGUAGGUCGGAUGUGAAAUCCCCGGGCUUAACCUGGGAAUUGCAUUCGAUACUGCUUGGCUAGAGUGUGGAAGAGGGAAGCGGAAUUUCCGGUGUAGCGGUGAAAUGCGUAGAUAUCGGAAGGAACACCAGUGGCGAAGGCGGCUUCCUGGUCCAACACUGACGCUGAGGCGCGAAAGCGUGGGGAGCAAACGGGAUUAGAUACCCACGUAGUCCCUGAGCGGGCUGGCAAGGCGCAU